This is a long non-coding RNA of Ruditapes philippinarum (Manila clam), 3734 nucleotides long. RefSeq lists it as uncharacterized. The record is from RefSeq and is a predicted model, not a curated record. NCBI's taxonomy places the organism in Eukaryota, Metazoa, Mollusca, Bivalvia, Venerida, Veneridae. The transcript is spliced from 5 exons.
CAUCCAAGGGAAAGACUGAACAUGGCCUUAAUAGACAAGUGGUCUUUAUUUGGAGGUUAUUCUGUUCUGUUUCAUUGAAGGGUUGGUCAAGAGUGGCCCAUUUACAGGGUGAUCUUUAUUCAGAGCAUGGUUUAAACGACUGUGCAGCUAGAAAUGCAGCUAGAAAUGCGUUAUUGACUCAAACUCGUACCAUGUCAGGCGAUGUCCAGUUGACCAGAGAAAUAUGGAGUGGGCACUUCAUAUGAAGGUAAUGGCACAAAAAUCAUCAUACUCUUUACCCGUUUAAAUCUGCUGCCAGUAAAGGACAAAGCACUUAUAUAAUUUAUAUUCUAUUAAAAUUGAUGUGACAUUUUAUUUAUUUUAUUUUUUUAAUAAUGAGGACCAAAUUUGAUAGUGUAAAAGGCGCGCUGUAUCUUUAUGGAUUUAAAAGCAAUUACAUCAAGUUUAAUACAAACUUUGUUCUGGUUUCGCUAAAGGAAAUGAAAUGGAAUAUUUCAUAGUAGUUUUCUUUUAUAAUUAAUAAAAAUAUGAACUAUAGAUGAGCUAAAAGAAUCUAAGUUGUUAAGUUUCCUUUUUACGAAAAUGAAAAGGACAGCAGGAAAUAGCUUAUUUCCCCACAGGUCGCCAAUGGUGUGUUUCCCUUGAGGAGACAGAAAAGAAAUGAGCCGCGUCAUGACAAAACCAACGUAAUGCGUUUGCGACCAGCUUUCAUGCAGUCUGAUCAGGAUCCAUGUUGUUCGCUUACAAACCCAAUUACAUAUAGAAACUGAUAGCGAACAGCAUGGAUCCUGAUCAGACUGCGCGGAGGGGCAGGCUGGUUUGGAUCCAUGCUGGUCGCAAAUCCACAUUGUUGGUUUUGUCAUGGCGCGGCUCAAGUAAUAUUUCUGCUAGGACAUUUGCACAGAUUACCUCCCCUGAAAAUCACUAGUAACUACUUGUUCACCGCGAAAUGGAAAUAUGAAUUAGAUCAGAUCAAAUUAAGGUAGUAGGUGGCCAGUGGUGUGGUUUGAUUGCGGAAGAAAUGGAAAAGAAACUAAUUUCCGUUGUGGUUACUGCUGGAGUGUGGCCCAAGAAAUCUUCCUCUGACGUUCCAUUCUGGAAAGUGAAUUAGAGCAGAGCCAUUUCACAUUUAAAGUGUGGUUCUUUAGCAGAGAAGAGGAGACUAAAUGUGUGAUCUUCUCUGGUUGCCUCCCCUGAAGUUCUUUACAACUCUGUGUUAUUGUGGAAAGAAGACUGGUGCAGAUUUUUUGUCAUUCAAGGAAUGUUCCAGAAUAUGGAAACAUUUAUAUAGAACAACUGCGAUUAAAGAAGAGUAACACUGGUACAGAAUGCGGACAAUGUGAAAACAUCAUCUAAAGAUGUCAACAUCCUAUUAAAAUCAUUCGCAAUUCUUCUGACAAUUUCAUAAUUUAAUCUUUACUGUCUUCAGUACAUGAUGUUUUUAAGACUUUUAGUUAUAUAAUUGCGUGUAAUAACCAUUUUCAUAGUUCCAUGGCAACCAGUGCCUACCAUUGCAUUGUUUUGCUCCCAGAAAUACCAGUUUAUCAAAAGUUUUGGCAAUUUUAUCCUGCUCUGUUUAAAUUGUUGUGACACAUUAUUUUAGUUUAUAUAUACAUGUUAUAAUUCACAAUAUACAGAGAGCAAUUCAAAUAUUCUUAAAAAACAGGUUUAGAAUGAAAGACAUGUCUUAUGAAAUUCUUCUCCUAACACAUUAUUUUGUAAACAUUGAUCAUAUAUAUUAGUCGCAGGAUUUUCACAUACUGUGCAAUACAAAAAAAGCCAUAUAUGCAUUCUUCAAUUGGAUCAUGUGACUAAAUUAUAAGUUGCGCUGAAAGAAUUUCCACAUUUUUCUUAUCAACCGAGAAAUGCUUUCCAGUUUUAUUUCACCUUUUUUUUUAAUCCAGAAAUUUCAUGAAAUAAGUAUCUAUCUGAAAUAAUCAUUUGUGAAAUAUGGGUGAAAUUUUGCAAAGUUUAUAUUUUUUCAAAAUUAACAACAACCUUGUGUGAAGCUUUGAAGAUAAAAGUUUGGCUAACUUUGGGUCUUUAAUAAAUCUCUGUAUAUAAAGAUAAAAAUAUAACAAAACUAUAUUUUCAAUUUAUUUUUUACAUUUUAUAUAAAAUUUAUUUAUUAGAAAGAUUUUUGAAAACAUGUACUUUUAAUCUUUUCAUUUUUGCUGUUUGUUCUUUUAGAGAAAUUUCAAUUUAAGAGUCAUUUCUAAUAUUUAAGUUCUAGCCUAUAUAAAAGUCAUUUUACCUACUGUUCUCACUGCAUUUUCAACUGUUUUAUAACCUAUAAUAUAUUUGCAGCACUAACAUUUACUGUUGGGUAAAAUGAACUUUUAUAUAAGGGAAUUGAAAUUGAAAAAACAAAUAUAAACAAAUAAAGCUAAUUAAAACAGACAAGUUUUUAAACUUUGGCUGAAAAAAAAAUAUUUAGAAGCAGAAAAUGAAACAAAACAAACAAAAAAUUUAAUGAAAAAAAGUUAAAAAAAUGAAAGUGAGAAAUUCAGAAAAUAAGUAGAAAUGAAAGAUAAGUUUAAAGUUUGCUUUUACUAUGAAUUAUAUCAAUCCAAAAAUCAUGUGAAAAUGAGUAAUAUAAAAAUAUAAUCUUAAAGCUACAGACACACACAAGGUAGUUAUGUCAAAAAUUAAAAAACUUUUUAAAUAUUCCCCAGUAUUUCAAAAAUUAUUAUUAUGGGUAAUUACAUUUUAAAGGCAAAUAAUGAUGCCUCAGAAAUACAUAUUUUUUAAUUGUUUAGAAAUGUGGUUUGUAAUGUUUUAAUAAUGGAUUUAGAGCAUGUUAGAUAUUUUACAACUGAAGAAAGUAAACAUGAAGUAAUGCGACAUUAUUUUUAUAUAGUAAACAAAAUAUUUAUUUACUACAAUUAUACCAAUUGCCAACACAAGGUAAUUCAUAUACAUGUAUGUGGCAAAUAAAUAUUUCUUUUGAAACUGUAACAAAAUGCAAAAAUUAAUGCAAGUUGUUGAGAAAUAAAUGAUGGGAUUUCUGAGGCAUAAUGGGCAAUUAAAACAUGAUUUUUCAAUAAAAUGAUAGUAUAUAUUAGGUAUAAUGGGCCUUUAAUAACAUUUUAAAAAAGGACCCCAAAAACAUUGUUUUUUUGUUAUGAAAGUGAAAUAAACUUGCCCAUUACUAUUAGGGUGUCUGAUCUUUUUCAAGAAAUGAAAUCCUUCCAGUUCAUAAUUUAAGGUCAAUGCUCCAAAUAAAAAUACAUUACUUGUACUAGAAAGAGCAUCAAAACACAAGGUUAUCUGAUUUGUACAAGGGGGCAUUUAUAAUAAGUGUUAGUUAUUCCAAGUUAUAAUGGUCUUUUAGUAUAAAUACUGCAGCUUAAUAUUGAAAAUAUAAACUGAAACAUUUUAAUAGUAUUUAAAUAAUGGUAGGAUGAAAAUGCCAAAACUUUUAUAAGCGAGUAUUUCUGAGAUAAAACAGAUAACCAAGAUGAAAUGAAAAAAAAUCAAUGUUGGCUAAUUUUGAUUUAUUUUUCUUUAUAAACAUUUAACUGAUUUUUUAUCUUAAUUAUUAUGAACAUUUCUCUGAAAACAAUUCUCAUUACUUUUUGGAGUUCUCAAACUGAUUAAUAUCAAUGUAAGUACAAACAUAUAAAGUUUACAUUUUUGUUGAAAUUUAGUAUUUGAUUAAUACAAAGACCAGUAUUUGUGUCAUAUGGUAGACUUAAAUAUUUUGUUAUUUUAAAUAAAAGUUACUUAACUUG